RNAcentral lists this ribosomal RNA (978 nucleotides) under Triticum aestivum (bread wheat). RNAcentral describes it as "partial small subunit ribosomal RNA". Lineage: Eukaryota; Viridiplantae; Streptophyta; Magnoliopsida; Poales; Poaceae. The record is from RNAcentral.
AUGGUAAUACUCUUAAUUUUAUAUAAUAUCCGCAUUCCAAAUAAAUAUACAUUUGUCUAUACAACUAACCAUCUUUUGUGGAUAGACAACCCUUCUUCAAUGUUUCCAUGCACCACAGAAGUGGAUGCACCAACACAAACACUCUACAGUGAUGAUAAUAGUAAGGUGGCUUUGUGGCCAGACAUCCCCUCUUCAUUGUUUCCAACAAUCAGAGAAGUGGAUGCACGAAUACAAUCAUUCUACAAUGAGGAUCACGGUAAUAAUGAAGUCAUAUGUGAGCAAGAAGCAACCAUCAAAGAAGUAGAUGCACCAACACAAUCAAUCUACCAUCAAGAUCAUGGUAAUGAUGAAGUCAUAUUUGAAGAAGACACAGACGAGGAAGAAUACAUGUUCCCUGGUGAAGAAUGGGAUAGAGAAGUGGAAAUCAAAACUGGAGAAGACCAGGAAUUUUACAACCUUGAUCAGUAUGAUUCCGUCUAUAGCAACAUACCAAAGAUCACACACAUGCUCAAAAUGGUACCAAAUUGCAGCUUCUGUAAUGCAAAAAAAAUUAUGUAUGAAUCGAAGGGGUUAUGCUGCAAUAAAGGACAAAUAAGACUAGCCAAUCCAGAUACACCACCUGAACUCAUGAGACUUUGGACAAGCAACGACUCUAAUGCAAGACAUUUUCGAAACAACAUAAGAUUUUUCAAUGGACACUUCUCAUUUACUAGUCUAUACUGCCACCUUGAUAGAGACACAACUGACAUGCGAACAACUGGUAUUUACACCUUUCGAGCUCAUGGUCAGAUCUAUCACAAUAUACACUCAUUUGCUGAUAUUAGGUCAAAUCCAAAGCAUUUGGAGCUAUACUUCUACGAUGAUGAUCCAAACUUAGAGCAUCGAUACCGCCAUUGUCGCGAGGAAAUGUACGAGCAAGACAAGCAUGUGAUCAGAAUAAUAACGAACAUUCUACGCGAUAACCCAUACUCUCAUUAG